This 493-nucleotide ribosomal RNA is filed under the name uncultured archaeon. Its description in RNAcentral is "bacterial SSU rRNA". It matches the Rfam family "Archaeal small subunit ribosomal RNA", at positions 937 to 1429 of the family's 1478-position model. The record is from RNAcentral.
CGACAGCAAUAUGUAGGUCAAGCUAAAGACUUUACCAGAAUCGCUGAGAGGAGGUGCAUGGCCGUCGUCAGUUCGUACUGUGAAGCAUCCUGUUAAGUCAGGCAACGAGCGAGACCCGUGCCCACUGUUGCCAGCAUAUCCUUUGGGAUGAUGGGUACUCUGUGGGGACCGCCGAUGCUAAAUCGGAGGAAGGUGCGGGCUACGGUAGGUCAGUAUGCCCCGAAUCUCCCGGGCUACACGCGGGCUACAAUGACUGGGACAAUGGGCUCCUACCCCGAGAGGGGAUGGUAAUCUCAUAAACCCAGCCGUAGUUCGGAUCGAGGGCUGUAACCCGCCCUCGUGAAGCUGGAAUCCGUAGUAAUCGCGUUUCAACAUAGCGCGGUGAAUACGUCCCUGCUCCUUGCACACACCGCCCGUCAAACCACCCGAGUGAGGUAUGGGUGAGGGCAUGGACAAUGUGCUGUGUUCGAACCUAAAUUUUGCAAGGGGGGUU